Molecule: ribosomal RNA, 477 nt
Filed under: uncultured bacterium
Lineage: Bacteria
Description: partial 16S ribosomal RNA
Rfam family: Bacterial small subunit ribosomal RNA
Source: RNAcentral
GACGAACGCUGGCGGCGUGCUUAACACAUGCAAGUCGAACGGUAAGGCCCUUCGGGGUACACGAGUGGCGAACGGGUGAGUAACACGUGGGUGAUCUGCCCUGCACUUCGGGAUAAGCCUGGGAAACUGGGUCUAAUACCGGAUAGGACCACUGCCUGCAUGGGUGGUGGUGGAAAGCUUUUGCGGUGUAGGAUGGGCCCGCGGCCUAUCAGCUUGUUGGUGGGGUGAUGGCCUACCAAGGCGACGACGGGUAGCCGGCCUGAGAGGGUGACCGGCCACACUGGGACUGGGAUACGGCCCAGACUCCUACGGGAGGCAGCAGUGGGAAUAUUGCACAAUGGGCGCAAGCCUGAUGCAGCGACGCCGCGUGAGGGGUGACGGCCUUCGGGUUGUAAACCUCUUUCAGCACCGACGAAGCGCAAGUGACGGUAGGUGCAGAAGAAGGACCGGCCAACUACGUGCCAGCCGCCGCCGUAA